Molecule: transfer RNA, 76 nt
Filed under: Vibrio phage Pontus
Lineage: Duplodnaviria; Heunggongvirae; Uroviricota; Caudoviricetes; Demerecviridae
Description: tRNA-Asn
Rfam family: tRNA
About the family: Transfer RNA (tRNA) molecules are approximately 80 nucleotides in length.
Source: RNAcentral
GGGGAAUUAACUCAGUGGUCAGAGUGGCUGCCUGUUAAGUAGCUGGUCGAUGGUUCAAAUCCAUCAUUCCCCGCCA